This 470-nucleotide ribosomal RNA is filed under the name uncultured Alphaproteobacteria bacterium. RNAcentral describes it as "bacterial SSU rRNA". It matches the Rfam family "Bacterial small subunit ribosomal RNA", at positions 9 to 524 of the family's 1533-position model. Lineage: Bacteria; Pseudomonadati; Pseudomonadota; Alphaproteobacteria. The record is from RNAcentral.
GAGUUUGAUCGUGGCUCAGAACGAACGCUGGCGGCAGGCCUAAUACAUGCAAGUCGAACGGGCGUAGCAAUACGUCAGUGGCAGACGGGUGAGUAACACGUGGGAACGUGCCCAAAGGUACGGAACAACUCCGGGAAACUGGAGCUAAUACCGUAUGUGCCCGAAAGGGGAAGAUUUAUCGCCUUUGGAUCGGCCCACGUCUGAUUAGCUAGUUGGCGGUGUAAUGGACCACCAAGGCGACGAUCAGUAGCUGGUCUGAGAGGAUGACCAGCCACACUGGGACUGAGACACGGCCCAGACUCCUACGGGAGGCAGCAGUAGGGAAUAUUGGACAAUGGGCGAAAGCCUGAUCCAGCCAUGCCGCGUGAGUGAUGAAGGCCUUAGGGUUGUAAAGCUCUUUCGCCAGGGACGAUAAUGACGGUACCUGGAUAAGAAGCCCCGGCUAACUUCGUGCCAGCAGCCGCGGUAAU